CGGUAGCACAGAGAGCUUGCUCUGCGGGUGACGAGCGGCGGACGGGUGAGUAAUGUCUGGGAAACUGCCUGAUGGAGGGGGAUAACUACUGGAAACGGUAGCUAAUACCGCAUAACGUCGCAAGACCAAAGUGGGGGACCUUCGGGCCUCAUGCCAUCAGAUGUGCCCAGAUGGGAUUAGCUAGUAGGUGGGGUAACGGCUCACCUAGGCGACGAUCCCUAGCUGGUCUGAGAGGAUGACCAGCCACACUGGAACUGAGACACGGUCCAGACUCCUACGGGAGGCAGCAGUGGGGAAUAUUGCACAAUGGGCGCAAGCCUGAUGCAGCCAUGCCGCGUGUAUGAAGAAGGCCUUCGGGUUGUAAAGUACUUUCAGCGGGGAGGAAGGCGAUAAGGUUAAUAACCUUGUCGAUUGACGUUACCCGCAGAAGAAGCACCGGCUAACUCCGUGCCAGCAGCCGCGGUAAUACGGAGGGUGCAAGCGUUAAUCGGAAUUACUGGGCGUAAAGCGCACGCAGGCGGUCUGUCAAGUCGGAUGUGAAAUCCCCGGGCUCAACCUGGGAACUGCAUUCGAAACUGGCAGGCUAGAGUCUUGUAGAGGGGGGUAGAAUUCCAGGUGUAGCGGUGAAAUGCGUAGAGAUCUGGAGGAAUACCGGUGGCGAAGGCGGCCCCCUGGACAAAGACUGACGCUCAGGUGCGAAAGCGUGGGGAGCAAACAGGAUUAGAUACCCUGGUAGUCCACGCCGUAAACGAUGUCGAUUUGGAGGUUGUGCCCUUGAGGCGUGGCUUCCGGAGCUAACGCGUUAAAUCGACCGCCUGGGGAGUACGGCCGCAAGGUUAAAACUCAAAUGAAUUGACGGGGGCCCGCACAAGCGGUGGAGCAUGUGGUUUAAUUCGAUGCAACGCGAAGAACCUUACCUGGUCUUGACAUCCACAGAACUUAGCAGAGAUGCUUUGGUGCCUUCGGGAACUGUGAGACAGGUGCUGCAUGGCUGUCGUCAGCUCGUGUUGUGAAAUGUUGGGUUA
Molecule: ribosomal RNA, 1025 nt
Filed under: Klebsiella pneumoniae subsp. rhinoscleromatis
Lineage: Bacteria; Pseudomonadati; Pseudomonadota; Gammaproteobacteria; Enterobacterales; Enterobacteriaceae
Description: bacterial SSU rRNA
Rfam family: Bacterial small subunit ribosomal RNA
Source: RNAcentral